Molecule: ribosomal RNA, 424 nt
Filed under: uncultured bacterium
Lineage: Bacteria
Description: partial 16S ribosomal RNA
Rfam family: Bacterial small subunit ribosomal RNA
Source: RNAcentral
CAUUUUGGACAAUGGGCGCAAGCCUGACCCAGCCAUGCCGCGUGAGUUAAGAGGGCCUUCGGGCGGUAAAGCUCUUUCGUACGGAAAGAAAUCGCGCAGGCUAAUACCCUGCGCUUAUGACGGCACCGUUGUUAGAAGCACCGGCUAACUACGUUCCCGCAGCCGCGGUAAAACGUAGGGUGGUAGCGUUAAGCGGAAUUUCUGGGCGUAAAGCGUGCGCAGACGGUUGAUUAAGAAAGGCGUGAAAUACCCGGGGUUAACCAGGGAACUAGGCUUGUGGCUGGUGAGCGGGAGUACGGCAGAGGGGGGUGGAAUUCCACGUGUAGCAGUGAAAUGCGUAGAGAUGUGGAGGAACACCGAUGGCGAAGGCAGCCCCCUGGGCCGAUACUGACGAUCAUGCACGAAAGCGUGGGUAGCAAACAGG